This 482-nucleotide ribosomal RNA is filed under the name uncultured bacterium. RNAcentral's name for it is "partial 16S ribosomal RNA". It matches the Rfam family "Bacterial small subunit ribosomal RNA", at positions 28 to 507 of the family's 1533-position model. The record is from RNAcentral.
GAUGAACGCUAGCGGCAGGCCUAAUACAUGCAAGUCGGACGGGAUUCAGGAGCUUGCUUCUGAUGAGAGUGGCGCACGGGUGCGUAACACGUAUGUAACCUACCUUUAUCAGGGGGAUAGCCUCUCGAAAGAGAGAUUAAGCCCGCAUAAAAUCACAGCACAGCAUUGUGUAAUGAUCAAAUAUUUAUAGGAUAAAGAUGGGCAUGCGGAACAUUAGCUAGAUGGCGGGGUAACGGCCCACCAUGGCGACGAUGUUUAGGGGAUCUGAGAGGAUGGCCCCCCACACUGGUACUGAGACACGGACCAGACUCCUACGGGAGGCAGCAGUAAGGAAUAUUGGUCAAUGGGCGGAAGCCUGAACCAGCCAUGCGGCGUGCAGGAAGACGGCCCUACGGGCUGUAAACUGCUUUUAUACGGGAAUAAACCCAGAUACGUGUAUCUGGCUGAAUGUACUGUAAGAAUAAGGAUCGGCUAACUCCGUG